This 446-nucleotide ribosomal RNA is filed under the name uncultured bacterium. RNAcentral's name for it is "partial 16S ribosomal RNA". It matches the Rfam family "Bacterial small subunit ribosomal RNA", at positions 338 to 795 of the family's 1533-position model. The record is from RNAcentral.
CCUACGGGGGGCUGCAGUCGAGAAUCAUUCACAAUGGGGGAAACCCUGAUGGUGCGACGCCGCGUGGGGGAAUGAAGGUCUUCGGAUUGUAAACCCCUGUCAUGUGGGAGCAAAUUAAAAAGAUAGUACCACAAGAGGAAGAGACGGCUAACUCUGUGCCAGCAGCCGCGGUAAUACAGAGGUCUCAAGCGUUGUUCGGAAUCACUGGGCGUAAAGCGUGCGUAGGCUGUUUCGUAAGUCGUGUGUGAAAGGGGCGGGCUCAACCCGCGGACGGCACAUGAUACUGCGAGACUAGAGUAAUGGAGGGGGAACCGGAAUUCGCGGUGUAGCAGUGAAAUGCGUAGAUAUCGAGAGGAACACUCGUGGCGAAGGCGGGUUCCUGGACAUUAACUGACGCUGAGGCACGAAGGCCAGGGGAGCGAAAGGGAUUAGAUACCCGGGUAGUC